Aquila chrysaetos chrysaetos is the source of this 2759-nucleotide RNA transcript. RefSeq lists it as uncharacterized. NCBI's taxonomy places the organism in Eukaryota, Metazoa, Chordata, Aves, Accipitriformes, Accipitridae. The record is from RefSeq and is a predicted model, not a curated record. The transcript is spliced from 2 exons.
UGCUCGGCUGCAGGACCCGCUGAGAACAGGACUCCCUAGGGUACCCCCAGGAUUUCCCGGAGGGACUCCUCGCCUCAAUCGGAUCACUGUGGGAGCAGACAAGGACCAUCUAAAGGAGUAAAGGUGAUCCACUAAAAGAGAAGUGGAAUGGACCCUACCAGGUGUUGCUGACCACUUUCACUGCAAUCAAGAUAAAGGAGCAACCAGCUUGGAUUCACUAUUCCGGAGUGAAGAAGGCUCCAGAUAAGCAGUGGACUUCUGAACCUCUGGGACCUUUGAAAUUAAAACUACAAAGACAUUAAUAUGGGAAAAGAAAAUAAACACAUAAGCAUUUUAAUUAUAAUAUCUACCAUAGGCAUUGUUGCUGCUUGGAGUGAGAAUGUGCACUAUCAAGUAAUUCAGACACUAGUCAAUGCCACUAGGGCAAAAGAUUGUUGGAUUUGCACAGCAUUACCUAGAGGCUCCAAACUGCCACUAUAUGGGGUAGCCAGUAUGAAUUGGACUAAAAACGUGUUUUGGAAUUUUAAUUACUCUUGUAAAUAUGGCCAAGAGAAUGAUACUUCCAAAGGACCACAAUUUGACCUAGUUGCUCUAACAAAUAAUACUUCGUUCUGUCAAAAGGACCCGCAAGAUAGAUCUGCAGACUUAGGAUAUAGAAAUAUAACAGGAAUAGGAUGUAGUUGGAAUUAUUCAGCAACUACCACAUAUGGUGGAACUGUUUGGAGCCAAGGCUCAAAAUGAAAUUGUGGUUCUGGUCCUGGUUUGGAAAUAUAUCAAUAUGGCCUGAAAAUGACCAAGGGGUCUUGUAGAUUGCCCCAUGGAUGGUGGUGGUUAUGUGGAGAUGGAUACGUGUGAAAGACACUACCUGAAGGAAUGGUAUGGUGUGUGUACAGCAGGACAUCUAACCACCCAGGAUACUCUACAUAACCACUCCCAGAUACCCCCAGGGUUUUUGAGGAGCUUAUUACUAAAAGUACAAAAGCAAACCUCAAAUCCCUUGAUAGAACGACCCUCAGGAUUUCAUAGUUUUGUACGGUGGUUAUUCCCCAUGCUAGGGGUCAGUGAGUUAGAAAAAGCAAUUGUAAACAUCUCUGCUACCUUAGAUGAAAUACUUAACGCCUCUAUGAAUGCUAUUGCUAAUAUGCAAGUUGAAAUCACUUCCCUAUCACAAGUAGUGGUACAGAAUAGAAUGACCCUAGACACAUUAACUGCAGAAGUGGGAGGAGUAUGCAUGGUAAUUAAUCAGAGCUGUUGCAGCUAUAUUAAUCAAGAAGGGCAGAUUGAAAAGGACUUACACAAAAUAUGGGAAAAGACUAGGAUUUUCCACAAAAUUAAGGACAAUACGGAAUGGGGCUUUACAGAUUUAUGGGAUAAAUUGACUUCUUGGCUUCCUAAUUUUGGAUGGUUAAAACAACUAUUCAUCAGAUUAAUUACUCUGGCAAUUUUAGGAAUAUUUGUGUGUAUGUUUUUCAAAUGUUUUCUUUGGUGUUGCCAGAAUUCAGCUGAAACGUACAGUGACUGGAAAAGAAAUAAGAUUAGACAUCAGGUGGAAAUGGGAAAAUAUUUUGCUCAGACUCUUGAAAAGGAUGGAAUAUUAUAGAAUAUUGCAAAAGAGUUUGCAAUGACAAAGAAAAAGAGGGGAUUGAAGCGAGAGCCUGAUGGAAAUUUACUAGCCAAAGCCUUUUUAACAAGCAGCAGCAAUGAACUAUGUAGCAGUGGCAUUGUGAAACGUAUAUGUAAGCGCAUUGUAAUCCUUUAGCGGAAUUUAUCUCUAAGAACAGAAUGCAAGGCUACUAUGAGAUAAAGAGGCACAGGAUGCCUUAAGACUGCAGAACUGGCUGAAACUAGCUCUGUGGUUUUUGUCAGCAAGAACAAGGGAGUAAAAGCUAUAGUUCACCAAGAGGACAUGGUGAUGAAGAGGAGUGGAUGAAGUAAACGACCACCAGAUGUCUCUGAAGCCCACCCAAAGAGUAUAAUGCGCAUGUGGGAAUGGGUGGUUACCUAUGAUAAUGAGUUCUCGGGAAAAUCAUGAAUAUGUUAAUCACUUCUCGGAAAUCUUAUGAAUAUGUAUGUAUAACUUGUAUAUAAGCUGUAUAACUGACCUGGCAUGGUGCGCACAUUAGGAGGAGUGAUCCCCUGUGUGUCCAGCACUGCGAUAAAGAUUACCUACUUAAUAGUCACCAUGACUAUUGAGUCCUGAUUUUGGCUUUUUCACGGCAACACAACCAAACAAAAUGAAACCAUUUCCUCUGUGUUUCACACAGAUAGUACCUUCUGGCAGAAGUACCAGUCUCUUCAGACUGUGUGUUUCUGCUUCUUCCACCAUACUAGUGUCUGAGUUGGAUGUAUCAGUUGGAAGUGUGGGGAUGGGAAGAUAAAUUACUUCUUGAAUCUGCAUGGCUGUGGAGAUUGUAAGCGUAUGAUGCCUCAUAGUAAAGCUUAUCAUUAUAUUAUCAUUAACUUCUUUUCUGCUUCUGAUUUUAAUUUUCUUAACCAGGUAAAAAUCCUAAUGAAAUAAUGGUGGAGAGUUCAACCUACAUGAACUUCAGAGGAAAAAUAACCAAAAGUUUGUUGUCUGUCUUGUAAGAGUUAUGAUGGGACAUUUGCCACCUUUAUAGAUAUUUAGGAUUCUACCUCAGAAACAGUAUGCAUGAUUGUAUGCCUACACAUCAUCUCUGGAAGGUUCCCUGAUACUCUGUACUAGGCUUUGAGGCUUUUUUCUUCUAAACUGUUUGCAUAUAAUAGUUUUUUUUGAACAG